This 180-nucleotide ribosomal RNA is filed under the name uncultured bacterium. RNAcentral's name for it is "partial 16S ribosomal RNA". It matches the Rfam family "Bacterial small subunit ribosomal RNA", at positions 318 to 508 of the family's 1533-position model. The record is from RNAcentral.
ACUGAGACAGGUCCAGACUCCUACGGGAGGCAGCAAGUGGGGAAUCUUGCGCAAUGGGCGGAAGCCUGACGCAGCGACGCCGCGUGCGGGAGGAAGGCCCUCGGGUCGUAAACCGCUUUCAGCAGGGACGAGGCCGCAAGGUGACGGUACCUGCAGAAGAAGCCCCGGCUAACUACGUGC